GCGGAUGUGGUGGAAUUGGUAGACACGUAUUCUUGAGGGGGAUAUGCUUUAGGGCGUGAGGGUUCAAGUCCCUCCAUCCGCACCA
RNAcentral lists this transfer RNA (85 nucleotides) under Thalassotalea algicola. Its description in RNAcentral is "Thalassotalea sp. M1531 tRNA-Leu". It matches the Rfam family "tRNA". Rfam says of the family: Transfer RNA (tRNA) molecules are approximately 80 nucleotides in length. The record is from RNAcentral. Lineage: Bacteria; Pseudomonadati; Pseudomonadota; Gammaproteobacteria; Alteromonadales; Colwelliaceae. RNAcentral also lists the same sequence under 1 other name.